CCUACGGGAGGCAGCAGUGAGGAAUAUUGGUCAAUGGGCGAGAGCCUGAACCAGCCAAGUCGCGUGAAGGAUGACGGCCCUACGGGUUGUAAACUUCUUUUGUCAGGGAGCAAUUGAGUCCACGUGUGGGCUUAGCGAGAGUACCUGAAGAAAAAGCAUCGGCUAACUCCGUGCCAGCAGCCGCGGUAAUACGGAGGAUGCGAGCGUUAUCCGGAUUUAUUGGGUUUAAAGGGUGCGUAGGCGGAAUAUCAAGUCAGCGGUAAAACUUCGGGGCUCAACCCCGUCGUGCCGUGGAAACUGAUGUUCUUGAGUGGGCGAGAGGUAUGCGGAAUGCGUGGUGUAGCGGUGAAAUGCAUAGAUAUCACGCAGAACUCCGGUUGCGAAGGCAGCAUACCGGCGCCCAACUGACGCUGAAGCACGAAAGCGUGGGUAUCGAACAGGAUUAGAUACCCCAGUAGUC
This 460-nucleotide ribosomal RNA is filed under the name uncultured bacterium. RNAcentral's name for it is "partial 16S ribosomal RNA". It matches the Rfam family "Bacterial small subunit ribosomal RNA", at positions 338 to 795 of the family's 1533-position model. The record is from RNAcentral.